This 112-nucleotide transfer RNA is filed under the name Aspergillus heteromorphus CBS 117.55. It matches the Rfam family "tRNA". From Rfam's summary of the family: Transfer RNA (tRNA) molecules are approximately 80 nucleotides in length. Their secondary structure includes four short double-helical elements and three loops (D, anti-codon, and T loops). Lineage: Eukaryota; Fungi; Ascomycota; Eurotiomycetes; Eurotiales; Aspergillaceae. The record is from Rfam by way of RNAcentral.
GCCCGGAUGGUCUAGUGGUAUGAUUCCUGCUUCGGGGUCUAUGUGGAAUACUCCUCUUAUUUACAUAAGAUUGAAAUGCAGGAGGUCUCGGGUUCGAAUCCCGAUUCGGGCC